UCCGGUUUGACACCGGCAGUCUCCCUAGAGUGCCCGGCAUAACCCGCUGGUAACUAGGGACGAGGGUUGCGCUCGUUGCGGGACUUAACCCAACACCUCACGGCACGAGCUGACGACAGCCAUGCACCACCUGUGCACGAGCCCCGAAGGGCUUACGUAUUUCUACGCAAUUCCCGUGCAUGUCAAGCCCUGGUAAGGUUCUUCGCGUUGCGUCGAAUUAAACCACAUGCUCCGCUGCUUGUGCGGGCCCCCGUCAAUUCCUUUGAGUUUCAGUCUUGCGACCGUACUCCCCAGGCGGAUAACUUAAUGCGUUAGCUGCGCCACCAAAAGCCCAUGGCCCCUGACAGCUAGUUAUCAUCGUUUACGGCGUGGACUAC
Molecule: unclassified non-coding RNA, 377 nt
Filed under: uncultured bacterium
Lineage: Bacteria
Description: contains 16S-23S intergenic spacer region
Source: RNAcentral